This 631-nucleotide ribosomal RNA is filed under the name Brevundimonas diminuta. RNAcentral describes it as "bacterial SSU rRNA". It matches the Rfam family "Bacterial small subunit ribosomal RNA", at positions 97 to 763 of the family's 1533-position model. The record is from RNAcentral. Lineage: Bacteria; Pseudomonadati; Pseudomonadota; Alphaproteobacteria; Caulobacterales; Caulobacteraceae.
GGCGGACGGGUGAGUAACACGUGGGAACGUGCCUUUAGGUUCGGAAUAGCUCCUGGAAACGGGUGGUAAUGCCGAAUGUGCCCUUCGGGGGAAAGAUUUAUCGCCUUUAGAGCGGCCCGCGUCUGAUUAGCUAGUUGGUGAGGUAACGGCUCACCAAGGCGACGAUCAGUAGCUGGUCUGAGAGGAUGACCAGCCACACUGGGACUGAGACACGGCCCAGACUCCUACGGGAGGCAGCAGUGGGGAAUCUUGCGCAAUGGGCGAAAGCCUGACGCAGCCAUGCCGCGUGAAUGAUGAAGGUCUUAGGAUUGUAAAAUUCUUUCACCGGGGACGAUAAUGACGGUACCCGGAGAAGAAGCCCCGGCUAACUUCGUGCCAGCAGCCGCGGUAAUACGAAGGGGGCUAGCGUUGCUCGGAAUUACUGGGCGUAAAGGGCGCGUAGGCGGAUCGUUAAGUCAGAGGUGAAAUCCCAGGGCUCAACCCUGGAACUGCCUUUGAUACUGGCGAUCUUGAGUAUGAGAGAGGUAUGUGGAACUCCGAGUGUAGAGGUGAAAUUCGUAGAUAUUCGGAAGAACACCAGUGGCGAAGGCGACAUACUGGCUCAUUACUGACGCUGAGGCGCGAAAGCGUG